AGUGAACGCUGGCGGUAGGCCUAACACAUGCAAGUCGAACGGCAGCACAGUAAGAGCUUGCUCUUACGGGUGGCGAGUGGCGGACGGGUGAGGAAUACAUCGGAAUCUACUUUUUCGUGGGGGAUAACGUAGGGAAACUUACGCUAAUACCGCAUACGACCUACGGGUGAAAGCAGGGGAUCUUCGGACCUUUCGCGUUUGUAUUAGCCGAUGUCGGAUUAGCUAGUUGGCGAGGUAAAGGCCCACCAAGGCGACGAUCCGUAGCUGGUCUGAGAGGAUGAUCGGCCACACUGGAACUGAGACACGGUCCAGACUCCUACGGGAGGCAGCAGUGGGGAAUAUUGGACAAUGGGCGCAAGCCUGAUCCAGCCAUACCGCGUGGGUGAAGAAGGCCUUCGGGUUGUAAAGCCCUUUUGUUGGGAAAGAAAAGCAGCAGGUUAAUACCCCGCUGUUCUGACGGUACCCAAAGAAUAAGCACCGGCUAACUUCGUG
RNAcentral lists this ribosomal RNA (492 nucleotides) under uncultured bacterium. RNAcentral describes it as "partial 16S ribosomal RNA". It matches the Rfam family "Bacterial small subunit ribosomal RNA", at positions 29 to 507 of the family's 1533-position model. The record is from RNAcentral.